This 402-nucleotide ribosomal RNA is filed under the name uncultured bacterium. Its description in RNAcentral is "bacterial SSU rRNA". It matches the Rfam family "Bacterial small subunit ribosomal RNA", at positions 355 to 774 of the family's 1533-position model. The record is from RNAcentral.
UAGGGAAUAUUGGUAAUGUGCGAAAGCGCGAACCAGCAACGCCGCGUGCACGAUGAAGGCCUUCGGGUCGUAAAGUGCUUUUAGAGAGGAUGAGGAAGGACAGUACUUUCUGAAUAAGCCUCGGCUAACUACGUGCCAGCAGCCGCGGUAAAACGUAGGAGGCUAGCGUUAUCCGGAUUUACUGGGCGUAAAGCGCAUGCAGGUGGUUUUGUAAGUUGGAUGUGAAAGCUCCCGGCUUAACUGGGAGAGGUCGUUCAAAACUACAAGACUUGAGAUUGGUAGAGGAAAAUGGAAUUCCGGGUGUAGUGGUGAAAUGCGUAGAUAUCCGGAGGAACACCAGUGGCGAAAGCGGUUUUCUGGACCAAUUCUGACACUCAGAUGCGAAAGCUAAGGUAGCAAACG